This 1340-nucleotide ribosomal RNA is filed under the name uncultured bacterium. RNAcentral's name for it is "16S ribosomal RNA". It matches the Rfam family "Bacterial small subunit ribosomal RNA", at positions 28 to 1375 of the family's 1533-position model. The record is from RNAcentral.
GACGAACGCUGGCGGCGUGCUUAACACAUGCAAGUCGAACGGAAAGGCCCUGCUUUUGUGGGGUGCUCGAGUGGCGAACGGGUGAGUAACACGUGAGUAACCUGCCCUUGACUUUGGGAUAACUUCAGGAAACUGGGGCUAAUACCGGAUAGGAGCUCCUGCUGCAUGGUGGGGGUUGGAAAGUUUCGGCGGUUGGGGAUGGACUCGCGGCUUAUCAGCUUGUUGGUGGGGUAGUGGCUUACCAAGGCUUUGACGGGUAGCCGGCCUGAGAGGGUGACCGGCCACAUUGGGACUGAGGUACGGCCCAGACUCCUACGGGAGGCAGCAGUGGGGAAUAUUGCACAAUGGGCGGAAGCCUGAUGCAGCAACGCCGCGUGCGGGAUGACGGCCUUCGGGUUGUAAACCGCUUUCGCCUGUGACGAAGCGUGAGUGACGGUAAUGGGUAAAGAAGCACCGGCUAACUACGUGCCAGCAGCCGCGGUGAUACGUAGGGUGCGAGCGUUGUCCGGAUUUAUUGGGCGUAAAGGGCUCGUAGGUGGUUGAUCGCGUCGGAAGUGUAAUCUUGGGGCUUAACCCUGAGCGUGCUUUCGAUACGGGUUGACUUGAGGAAGGUAGGGGAGAAUGGAAUUCCUGGUGGAGCGGUGGAAUGCGCAGAUAUCAGGAGGAACACCAGUGGCGAAGGCGGUUCUCUGGGCCUUUCCUGACGCUGAGGAGCGAAAGCGUGGGGAGCGAACAGGCUUAGAUACCCUGGUAGUCCACGCUGUAAACGGUGGGUACUAGGUGUGGGGUCCAUUCCACGGGUUCCGUGCCGUAGCUAACGCUUUAAGUACCCCGCCUGGGGAGUACGGCCGCAAGGCUAAAACUCAAAGGAAUUGACGGGGCCCCGCACAAGCGGCGGAGCAUGCGGAUUAAUUCGAUGCAACGCGUAGAACCUUACCUGGGUUUGACAUGGAUCGGGAGUGCUCAGAGAUGGGUGUGCCUCUUUUGGGGUCGGUUCACAGGUGGAGCAUGCCUGUCGUCAGCUCGUGUCGUGAGAUGUUGGGUUAAGUCCCGCAACGAGCGCAACCCUUGUUCACUGUUGCCAGCACGUUAUGGUGGGGACUCAGUGGAGACCGCCGGGGUCAACUCGGAGGAAGGUGGGGAUGACGUCAAGUCAUCAUGCCCCUUAUGUCCAGGGCUUCACGCAUGCUACAAUGGCUGGUACAGAGAGUGGCGAGCCUGUGAGGGUGAGCGAAUCUCGGANAGCCGGUCUCAGUUCGGAUUGGGGUCUGCAACUCGACCUCAUGAAGUCGGAGUCGCUAGUAAUCGCAGAUCAGCAACGCUGCGGGGAAUGCGUUCCC